Molecule: ribosomal RNA, 119 nt
Organism: Pygocentrus nattereri (red-bellied piranha)
Lineage: Eukaryota; Metazoa; Chordata; Actinopteri; Characiformes; Serrasalmidae
Source: Ensembl
GCUUACGGCCAUACCACCCUGAGAACGCCCGAUCUCGUCUGAUCUCGGAAGCUAAGCAGGGUCGGACCUGGUUAGUACUUGGAUGGGAGACCGCCUGGGAAUACGAGGUGCUGUAAGCU